This 425-nucleotide ribosomal RNA is filed under the name uncultured bacterium. RNAcentral describes it as "partial 16S ribosomal RNA". It matches the Rfam family "Bacterial small subunit ribosomal RNA", at positions 354 to 796 of the family's 1533-position model. The record is from RNAcentral.
GUGGGGAAUCUUGCGCAAUGGGCGAAAGCCUGACGCAGCCAUGCCGCGUGAAUGAUGAAGGUCUUAGGAUUGUAAAAUUCUUUCACCGGGGACGAUAAUGACGGUACCCGGAGAAGAAGCUCCGGCUAACUUCGUGCCAGCAGCCGCGGUAAUACGAAGGGGGCUAGCGUUGCUCGGAAUUACUGGGCGUAAAGGGCGCGUAGGCGGACAGCUUAGUCAGAGGUGAAAGCCCAGGGCUCAACCUUGGAAUUGCCUUUGAUACUGGCUGGCUUGAGUUUGGGAGAGGUGAGUGGAACUCCGAGUGUAGAGGUGAAAUUCGUAGAUAUUCGGAAGAACACCAGUGGCGAAGGCGACUCACUGGCCCAAUACUGACGCUGAGGCGCGAAAGCGUGGGGAGCAAACAGGAUUAGAAACCCGUGUAGUCC